GAUGAACGCUGGCGGCGUGCCUAACACAUGCAAGUCGAACGGAAAGACAGUGAGUUUGUGCGCUUACCGGUUGCGGAUGGCGGGCGUGUGACGUGUGUAUCCUGAUCUUGUUUUUCGGGGAGCAUAACGAAACUGGGGUUACUAUAAGAUAGGAUAUCACGUACCGGUGAGGGCAUUGGAUAGUCUCGGCUUUCGCGGUUGAAUUAGCGGCUGAGGGAGUAGCUGGUUGGGGGGGUAAAGGCCCAGCAAGGGAACGGUGCGUAGCCGGUCUGAGAGGAUGAUCGGCCACACUGGAACUGAGACACGGUCCAGACUCCUACGGGAGGCAGCAGUGGGGAAUAUUGGACAAUGGGCGCAAGCCUGAUGCAGCAAUACCGCGUGGGUGAAGAAGGCCUUCGGGUUGUAAAGCCCUUUUGUUGGGAAAGAACAGCAGCAGGUUAAUACCCCGAUGUUCUGACGGUACCCAAAGAAUAAGCACCGGCUAACUUCGUG
This 492-nucleotide ribosomal RNA is filed under the name uncultured bacterium. RNAcentral describes it as "partial 16S ribosomal RNA". It matches the Rfam family "Bacterial small subunit ribosomal RNA", at positions 28 to 507 of the family's 1533-position model. The record is from RNAcentral.